UGGGUAACCUGCCUCAAAGAGGGGAAUAGCCUCCCGAAAGGGAGAUUAAUACCGCAUAAUAUGUUUUAAUCGCAUGGUUUUAACAUCAAAGGAAUUUCUUCGGAACUUCCACUUUGAGAUGGACCCGCGGCGCAUUAGCUAGUUGGUGAGGUAACGGCUCACCAAGGCAACGAUGCGUAGCCGACCUGAGAGGGUNAUCGGCCACAUUGGAACUGAGACACGGUCCAGACUCCGUACGGGAGCAG
RNAcentral lists this ribosomal RNA (245 nucleotides) under uncultured bacterium. RNAcentral's name for it is "partial 16S ribosomal RNA". It matches the Rfam family "Bacterial small subunit ribosomal RNA", at positions 118 to 347 of the family's 1533-position model. The record is from RNAcentral.